GUAGGUGAACCUGCGGAAGGAUCAUUACCGAUUUUAGCGAACCUGGCCUUUGGUCAUGGUCUCGCGAAAACUUGUAUUUAAAACCCCACUCUUAUAAAACGAAAUAUUUUGUAUAUAUAAAUAAAAUAAGAUCACUUUCAACAACGGAUCUCUUGGCUCUCGCAUCGAUGAAGAACGCAGCAUCUGACUGACUGCACUCGUUAGA
This 205-nucleotide unclassified non-coding RNA is filed under the name plant metagenome. Its description in RNAcentral is "partial contains small subunit ribosomal RNA, internal transcribed spacer 1, and 5.8S ribosomal RNA". The record is from RNAcentral.